AUGGUAGUUGGUUAUGUUAAAAAGCUAACCAAGCCUUAGAUGCUUAGCAGGCUUUUAACGAGUGAUCUGCCACAACGGGCUUGAAAUAGUGCCUGAACAUUUAUGGCAGCAGUAAAGAAUCUUGGGCAAUGCAUUCAAGUGUGACCCAGCAAGUCUCCGUGGAUGAUGAAGAUAUUAAAUUAUAUUGUAAAAUUCUAUCUUUUUAUAUUUAUAAUGAAAUAUAAAAAGGAAAGCACAGGCUAAAUUCGUGCCAGCAGCCGCGGUAAUACGGAUUGUGCAAGUCUUUGACCUCGUGACUAGGUGUAAAAGGCCACAUAGGAGGUUAUAUAAGUUAUUGAGUAAAUACAGGGUAUAAACCUUGGAAUCUCAAUAAAACUUUAUAACUAGAAUAUAAAAGGGGUUUAAGAUAUCUUCUAAGUAAAGGUGAAAUUUGUAGAAAUAGAAGGG
RNAcentral lists this ribosomal RNA (447 nucleotides) under uncultured bacterium. RNAcentral describes it as "bacterial SSU rRNA". It matches the Rfam family "Bacterial small subunit ribosomal RNA", at positions 242 to 704 of the family's 1533-position model. The record is from RNAcentral.